UCCAGCAGAAGUCAGCUGUCCGGACAGAACCAUUCCUGUGAUGGUGUUACACUGCUGGGAGAGCAAUGUCUACUCUUCAUCCAGUUGCCUGUGUCACUGUUCUGGUGGCCUAUGGGCCUGGGCAAGACAGAACUGUGCUUCCUUGAGAGUGUGCUAAGCAUUUGCUUUGGCUGCUUAGUUCUAGUCUGAGAGCAGACACA
RNAcentral lists this small nucleolar RNA (200 nucleotides) under Castor canadensis (American beaver). RNAcentral describes it as "Small nucleolar RNA SNORA74 (ENSCCNG00000003312.1)". It matches the Rfam family "Small nucleolar RNA SNORA74". From Rfam's summary of the family: U19 belongs to the H/ACA class of snoRNAs. snoRNAs bind a number of proteins (including dyskerin, Gar1p and Nop10p in the case of the H/ACA class) to form snoRNP complexes. The record is from Rfam by way of RNAcentral. Lineage: Eukaryota; Metazoa; Chordata; Mammalia; Rodentia; Castoridae.